AGCGAACGCUGGCGGCAGGCCUAAUACAUGCAAGUCGAACGGCUCUUCGGAGCAGUGGCGGACGGGUGAGUAACGCGUGGGAACGUGCCCUUUGGUACGGAACAACUGAGGGAAACUUCAGCUAAUACCGUAUGUGCCCUUCGGGGGAAAGAUUUAUCGCCAUUGGAGCGGCCCGCGUUGGAUUAGGUAGUUGGUGGGGUAAAGGCCUACCAAGCCUACGAUCCAUAGCUGGUCUGAGAGGAUGAUCAGCCACACUGGGACUGAGACACGGCCCAGACUCCUACGGGAGGCAGCAGUAGGGAAUCUUGCGCAAUGGGCGAAAGCCUGACGCAGCCAUGCCGCGUGUAUGAUGAAGGUCUUAGGAUUGUAAAAUACUUUCACCGGGGAAGAUAAUGACGGUACCCGGAGAAGAAGCCCCGGCUAACUUCGUG
Molecule: ribosomal RNA, 431 nt
Filed under: uncultured bacterium
Lineage: Bacteria
Description: bacterial SSU rRNA
Rfam family: Bacterial small subunit ribosomal RNA
Source: RNAcentral